UGCCUGGCUUUUAAUCUGCUAGGUUUAUGAUAACUAUGGGAAACAGCAGUACGGAGAGGCUGGGGGCUACGGCCGCUGCCCUUCUGGGGGCUGCUGACAGUGAUUCUUCGUCUACCCUUGAGAAAGAUGGGGAUAACUUCCCGGAUAUAAGGAUGACAAAAUCCUUCCUUGAGAGUGGAACCUGUCGAGGACUAUCCGGGUUCUGUGUUUGGUCUGCUCUCUUCAUCACGGGAUACCAAAUAUUCCAGUAUCUCAGAUACUACACCAACCCGGCGGAACAACGAUGGAUCAUAAGAAUCCUGUUUAUUGUUCCUGUGUACGCCCUGACCAGCUGGCUGAGCUUGCUCUUCUUCAGCUACAACAACGUGUACGUGUACUUCAACGCUGUCAGGGACUGCUACGAGGCGUUCGUUAUCUACAACUUCCUCAGUCUGUGCUACGAGUACCUGGGAGGAGAAGGAUCUAUAAUGUCGGAGAUACGUGGUAAACCAAUUCGUUCCAGCUGCUGGUAUGGAACAUGCUGGAUACAGGCACAGUCAUACAACAUUGGAUUCCUCAGGUUCUGCAAACAAGGAACCCUGCAGUUCUGUAUAAUCAAGCCUCUCACUUCUUUCCUGGUCAUCAUCCUUCAGGCGUUUGAUCUGUACUACGACGGGAACUGGUCACCAAACCAGGGCUACCUGUACACCACCCUCAUCAACAACAUGAGCAUCUCCAUCGCCCUGUACGCUCUCUUCCUCUUCUACUUCGCCACCCACGAUCUUCUUCGGCCCUUUACUCCGGUGAUCAAGUUCUUCACGAUCAAGGCGAUCAUCUUCCUGUCGUUCUGGCAAGGGUUCAUCCUGGCGGUCCUGGAGAAGCUCGAGCUCAUCUCAUCGAUUAGGUGGGAGCAUGGUGGAACUGAGACUAAAUCCUCCAGUGUAUCUGCAGGAUACCAGAACUUCAUCAUCUCGAUAGAGAUGCUGUUUGCCGCUAUAGCGCUUCGUUACGCGUUCCCGAUCUCAGCUUACAUGACCUCGACCUUUAACAGUGGACGGGAGGGAGUAGGUAGAUCUGUUACUAUGCAGAGUAUAUCCAACACACUCAAGGAAACCAUUAAUCCCAGGGAUAUUAUGACCGACGCUAUUCACAACUUCCACCCACAGUACCAGCAGUACACGCAGUACAGCAGUGCAGGAGGAAGCUACAAGGACCCAGGAUCAGUUGAAAAACCAGCAAAGCAUGAAUAUUAAUGGGUGAACCAGUUUUGGAAUCAUUUUCAAGAACCAAAAAUGUUUACAAAAGGGAAAAGAACGGAGGAACAGGGACCCAGAAACCUGGAGCCAGACCUAAGGACGGAGAAAAAUCUCUCCUCCUCUCAUCUGAU
Molecule: RNA transcript, 1366 nt
Organism: Eurytemora carolleeae
Lineage: Eukaryota; Metazoa; Arthropoda; Copepoda; Calanoida; Temoridae
Gene name: transmembrane protein 184B
Exons: 13
Source: RefSeq, a predicted model, not a curated record